This is a long non-coding RNA of Monodelphis domestica (gray short-tailed opossum), 552 nucleotides long. RefSeq lists it as uncharacterized. The record is from RefSeq and is a predicted model, not a curated record. NCBI's taxonomy places the organism in Eukaryota, Metazoa, Chordata, Mammalia, Didelphimorphia, Didelphidae.
AUUUUUUGGUGCUCUCUUCAAUCUUCAGGCACUUUGUGAUUACAAACUCUUCUCCUAUUCAAAAUUAGUCUUGACAUGAAGGGAUCUGAUAAAAAUAAUCUACAAUAAGGUAUAAUUUACUGAUAUUGGUUUAAUAUAUAAUUAUUCCCAAGAAUAUUUAUAUUUUAAUCAACCUAAACACAUUAUUAUCAGCAAAGAGGUGGCAAAAGUAUUGGGGAGAGCAAUAGGUCCUUCCCAUCAUUCCUGAGAUCACACCAUGUAAAGUGUUGCUGGAUUCCUUCCAUAGAAGGAUGCUCUCACCAUUGUUCUGGUCUAACUGCCACAAGGAUGCCAGAGCUAAUCUGUCAGACUCCCAGAGGACUGAAAACCCUUAAAGUGCUUUCUCAACUUCUUUGCAAGACAAUAGCAUUCUGAAGGCCUCAUGCAGAGCUGAUACUCCACAGCUAGGAAUGAUCAUCAACAAAUUGGAAAAUCAAAACAGACUCCCUUAAGAAGAAUGCACUGAAAAAAGCAAAAUAAUAAUUAAAGUAAUAAAAAUGUGCAAAAUCCUCA